RNAcentral lists this ribosomal RNA (270 nucleotides) under uncultured archaeon. RNAcentral's name for it is "partial 16S ribosomal RNA". It matches the Rfam family "Archaeal small subunit ribosomal RNA", at positions 477 to 747 of the family's 1478-position model. The record is from RNAcentral.
CAGCACCUCAAGUGGUCAGGACGAUUAUUGGGCCUAAAGCAUCCGUAGCCGGCGCUGUAAGUUUUCGGUUAAAUCUGUACGCUCAACGUACAGGCUGCCGGGAAUACUGCAGCGCUAGGGAGUGGGAGAGGUAGACGGUACUCGGUAGGAAGGGGUAAAAUCCUUUGAUCUAUUGAUGACCACCUGUGGCGAAGGCGGUCUACCAGAACACGUCCGACGGUGAGGGAUGAAAGCUGGGGGAGCAAACCGGAUUAGAGACCCGAGUAGUCC